ACGAACGCUGGCGGCGCGCUUAACACAUGCAAGUCGAACGAGAAGCUGUAGCAAUACAGUUGUACAGUGGCGAACGGGUGAGGAAUACAUGGGUAACCUACCCUCGAGUGGGGAAUAACCAGCCGAAAGGCUGGCUAAUACCGCGUACGCUUCCCAGUCUGCGGGUUGGGAAGGAAAGCUCUACCCGUGGGUAGAGCGCUCAAGGACGGGCUCAUGUCCUAUCAGCUUGUUGGUAGGGUAACGGCCUACCAAGGCAACGACGGGUAGCUGGUCUGAGAGGACGAUCAGCCACACUGGCACUGCGACACGGGCCAGACUCCUACGGGAGGCAGCAGUGAGGAAUAUUGCGCAAUGGGCGACAGCCUGACGCAGCGACGCCGCGUGGGGGA
Molecule: ribosomal RNA, 389 nt
Filed under: uncultured bacterium
Lineage: Bacteria
Description: bacterial SSU rRNA
Rfam family: Bacterial small subunit ribosomal RNA
Source: RNAcentral